GCUUUAAUAGUAUAACUNAUUACCUUGGUCUUGUAAACCAAAGAUGAAGAUUCUUAUUCUUCUUAAAGC
This 69-nucleotide transfer RNA is filed under the name Lariscus insignis (three-striped ground squirrel). RNAcentral's name for it is "tRNA-Thr". It matches the Rfam family "tRNA". Rfam says of the family: Transfer RNA (tRNA) molecules are approximately 80 nucleotides in length. Their secondary structure includes four short double-helical elements and three loops (D, anti-codon, and T loops). The record is from RNAcentral. Lineage: Eukaryota; Metazoa; Chordata; Mammalia; Rodentia; Sciuridae.